AUGAUUAAGAACCUUUCGAUUAUCUCGUGGAACGUCCGUGGUCUUGGACGUCACAAAAAAUGCACCGACGUCAAAUCUGCCAUCUCCUCCUCCCCCUGCUCGGUUCUUUGUCUCCAAGAAACCAAGCUGCAGGAAAUUCCUCAUUUCAAAGCCAUUUCCUUUCUGCCGCCACACCUUAGAAAUUUCCACUCUAUUCCCUCCAUCGGUGCUUUCGGAGGUAUAGAUAUUUCUUGGGACGAUGAUCCCCUACUAUGCUCACGAACCCUUCGCGGCCCCUACUCCUUAACUUGCUGGUUCGAAGCAAGGGCGGAUGAACUCAUUUUUGCUAUCACAAAUGUUUACGGUCCAUGCGAUGCUUCUGCCAAACCCUCCUUCUUGCAGUCCUUGAUGGACUUGUUACCAGAUAUCUCUUGUCCUUGGGCCAUCAUUGGCGACUUCAAUCUCACCCUAAGGCCGGCGGAUAAAUCGUCUCCAAAUUUUAACAUACAUGAGGCAAACCUUUUUGCCUCCACAAUCAACUCUCUCCAGCUUCAGGAUCUUCCGCUCCUAGACAGGAGAUUCACUUGGUCAAAUCAGCAGGACGCGCCCGUCCUUGUGCGUCUCGAUCGGGCACCUGCUAACGUGGCUUGGGCGUCAAAAUUUCCGGACACCUCGCUCUCCUCGGUGACCAGAACCACCUCCGACCACAUCCCCAUUCUUUUAACGGCGGCAACCUCUAUCCCUAAAUCCUCUGUGUUUCGCCUAGAUCGCUCCCUGCUAGACAUUCCCCAAUUCAAAGACAAGGUUGCUGUUAACUGGAACAGCGUGGGUACCAGGCACCUGCACCUUGGAUCUGCUGGUCUCAUCUCCCUUAAGAUCAAGCGCACGAGAAAUAUGGCCAAAAAUGGGUUUCCAGUCGUAGAUCGCCCAAGAUUCUAG
Molecule: ribosomal RNA, 918 nt
Filed under: Triticum aestivum (bread wheat)
Lineage: Eukaryota; Viridiplantae; Streptophyta; Magnoliopsida; Poales; Poaceae
Description: partial small subunit ribosomal RNA
Source: RNAcentral